Molecule: ribosomal RNA, 494 nt
Filed under: uncultured bacterium
Lineage: Bacteria
Description: partial 16S ribosomal RNA
Rfam family: Bacterial small subunit ribosomal RNA
Source: RNAcentral
GACGAACGCUGGCGGCGUGCUUAACACAUGCAAGUCGAACGGAAAGGCCUGCUUUCCCUUGUGGAUUGCGGGUACUCGAGUGGCGAACGGGUGAGUAACACGUGAGUGAUCUGCCCCCAACUUGGGUAUAAGCCUGGGAAACUGGGUCUAAUUCCCGAUAGGACUGCAGGGUGGUGCCUGUGGUGGAAAACGAUUUUCUAGUGGUUGGGGAUGAGCUCGCGGCCUAUCAGCUUGUUGGUGGGGUAAUGGCCUACCAAGGCGGCGACGGGUAGCCGGCCUGAGAGGGUGGACGGCCACAUUGGGACUGAGAUACGGCCCAGACGACUACGGGAGGCAGCAGUGGGGAAUAAUGGACAAUGGGAGGAAGCCUGAUGCAGCGACGCCGCGUGGGGGAUGACGGCCUUCGGGUUGUAAACUCCUUUCGACCGCGAGGAAGCCACCUGGUUGGAAGGGUGGUGACGGUAGUGGUAGAAGAAGCACCGGCUAACUACGUG